UACGGAAGGCAGCAGUGGGGAAUAUUGCACAAUGGGCGAAAGCCUGAUGCAGCUAUGCCGCGUGUAUGAAGAAGGCCUUAGGGUUGUAAAGUACUUUCAUCGGGGAGGAAAAAACAAAACUAAUAAUUUUAUUUCUUGACGUUACCCGAAAAAGAAGCACCGGCUAACUCCGUGCCAGCAGCCGCGGUAAUACGGAGGGUGCUAGCGUUAAUCAGAAUUACUGGGCGUAAAGAGCACGUAGGUGGUUUUUUUAAAGUCAGAUGUGAAAUCCCUGGGCUUAACCUGGAACUGCAUUUUGAAACUGAAAUACUAGAGUAUCGUAGAGGGAGGUAGAAUUCUAGGUGUAGCGGUGAAAUGCGUAGAUAUCUGGAGGAAUACCUGUGGCGAAAGCGGCCUCCUAAACGAAUACUGACACUGAGGUGCGAAAGCGUGGGGAGCAAACAGGGAUUAGAUA
RNAcentral lists this ribosomal RNA (454 nucleotides) under uncultured bacterium. RNAcentral's name for it is "bacterial SSU rRNA". It matches the Rfam family "Bacterial small subunit ribosomal RNA", at positions 340 to 784 of the family's 1533-position model. The record is from RNAcentral.